GGGCCAUCGUGACUAAUUACAGCGCCAGCGUAACUGAACCUUUUGCACCGUUUUCUUCGUUACCACCAACUGAUUGUUUAACUGAAAUCACGUGACGAAGCCAAACUGUCGUUUUAUACUUCACACCUCUGCACUUUCAACAAUUUCAUAAGGCUCCUAUCUCAUGUUUCCAUCACCCAUCAGCGUGCUUGUGCACUCUGUUACUCCAAACGACGCCGUUCCCUCACACCCUCGGAGCUCGGACCAUGGCGGCCAUUGACGACGGAGGCAAGGCGGAGAAAUUCAUCAGUGGGAGAGAAGAAUUCGGCAACUCAUCCAACACGUUCAGCGCGAUUCUAGCGAUGGCGCUGUGGCUGGGAGCCAUUCACUUCAACAUUGCCCUCAUCCUCUUCGCCCUCUUCUUCCUUCCUCUCCCCAAAUUACUGUUGGUUUUUGGUUUUCUGUUUGUGUUUGCAGUGCUUCCUAUCGACGAGAAGAGCAGAUUUGGCCGAACAUUGUCGAGGUUCAUUUGCAAACACGCUUGCAAUUAUUUUCCCAUCACGCUUCACGUAGAGGAUAUGAACGCCUUUGAUCCGAACCGUGCUUAUGUUUUUGGUUAUGAACCACAUUCGGUUUUGCCAAUUGGCAUUGUGGCACUAGCUGACCACACUGGUUUCAUGCCUCUUCCAAAAGUUAGAGUUCUUGCUAGCAGCACGGUGUUCUACACACCAUUUUUGAGACACAUAUGGACAUGGUUGGGUCUUACACCAGCAACAAAGAAAAACUUUAUCUCCUUGCUAGCGUCUGGCCAUAGUUGCAUUUUAACACCUGGUGGAGUGCAAGAGACAUUCCUCAUGCAACAUGGCAUUGAGAUUGUUUUCCUUAAGGCACGAAGAGGAUUUGUCCGCAUAUCAAUGGUGAAAGGCCUACCUUUGGUUCCUGUUUUCUGCUUCGGUCAGGUAUUUGUUUCUGAUGGAAUCAAAUUUCAGUUUACUGUGCAACAAUCAUCUGCAUCUCUCUCUCUCUCUCUCUCUCUCUCUCUACAUUCUUCUGCUCAUUCUCUGGUAUCAGGAACCAUAGUUUCCAUUAUGAUAUAUCAUAGAGCUCCUUUUUUAUUCAUGAAUGCAUUCAUGAUGACUUCCUCUGUGAUUCCUUUGACGAUUUUCUCGUGGACUCCAAUCAAGCUCGAUGAUAACAAUUUCCUCCAAUGGCAAUAGUAAGUUGAAGCUAAGAUUUGAGAGCGCAAGCUUCAGGGUUUGAUUGUGAAUCUUUCCAUUUCAUCACACUUUAACUGAAGAAGAUUGUGAAACUGGAAGUAAAUCCAGCAUGUUUUGAGUGAAAUCACAAGAUGUUCUCUCUCUAUCAUGACUUCUCUCAUCUCUAGAUGAUUCUCUCAGCUUGCAUAGUUGGAUUCUAUCAUUCUUUGCAAGUGGAGGAGGAAGUGCACAUUCACUUCCAUGCUUCCACUCAUGCAAAAUCACAUCAAUUCUUUUAGUGCACUGUCAGGUGAAAAGGGCAAAUAAAUCUGAGUUUCUUCUUUGGAUGCAAUCCGUUGCUGAUAUAUUAUGGGCCUUUUGGAGACCGUCUCUCCUCCCACUCACCUAGAUGGUGUUUUGGGUGGACUACCCAAUAAAUAUGACUCAUUUGUCACCUCUGUGCUAAGAUGUCCUGAUCCUGUUUCAAUCAGAGAUUGAGUCCCUAUUGUUGGCUCACAAAGCUCAAAUGGCAAAGCACAAGAAUCUCUCUCUCACUAAGUCGAUCUAGGCAAAUGUUGCACUAGUUCCAACUUCAGUUCAACCACCUCAGUUUAAGUGGCACAGGCUCAAAAACAUCUGCUAACUAUGGUUGCCUACUGGUGACUGGUGACUAUCAAAAUGCAGCUCAAGAUUGUGGUAACAUGAGGAGGACCUUAAUCCUCAGUCUCCAGUCCAAUGACAAAUAUGUCACUAGACAGGAACAUGAGACCUCAAUCUAUUAUCACCAAGGGCUGGGACCUCUUGUGUCCAACUUUUUCCUUUUGGCUGUUGCUCUGGCUUUCCAAGCUGUUGUCCUUCAACACUUCAUCCCAGUCUUGCCAUUCCAUGCUGAAUGCCCCUGUCACAGUUUGAAGCUGUCCUUCACAUCAGUAAUGUAGAAUUGCCGACUAAGUUGCGUAUAAUUAAUUUCUGCAUCUCCACAGCUGGCACAGUCUUUACUUACUGGCUUUGAGGUUUAUGAAUUUCAGAUUCAUGCACCACCGAUCAUGUUACAUCUGACCCAUGCAUCCAAUUCAAAGCACUCCUCCCUUGUGCAGAUCAGUUGAAGUCAUCAUGGGGAAUAGGCAAGGACUCGUAUACAGUGCAGCUGGCGGGGACUCUGGGACAUGAUGAACUGUACAGAUUGACAAUUAUUGUCAUUCCAAGAGAUGGUCCUCCUGCUAGUCCCCGGUGUGAAGAAUUCCAACAUUUUACCCUCUACCUUUUUUGCAGUAUAUACUACUGUCUGUAUCUCCUACGUUUAGCUCUUGUAAUUCCUGAUAGACAUGUUAGUUCACCCAAUUGGCACUGUUAAUUUGCGCUUCGUCAUAAUGACAAGCAAAAAAUUAUGCCACUCUGCAAUAUUCCCAGGCCUAAUAAAUAUGCCAAUGGUUUAGAGCUUUUUUGUCCGAGAAAGACCCAUUACCAUCCCUUUUCCCAAUCCAGUAUGAUAUACUCCAAACUUCUUGAAUUCUAGUGGCUAUUCGUGACAUUUGGGGACCUUUAGCUGUAGAUUCUUCUUGUGGCAUCAAAUGUCUAUAAGUGGUGGAAACCAGGUGGGAAGUUCUUCCUGAAAGUUGCAAGAGCUAUCAAAUUUACCCCAAUAUGUUUUUGGGGAAUUUUCGGAUCUCCAUUACCGUUCAGAUACCCAAUGCAUGUGGUGGUGGG
Molecule: non-coding RNA, 2882 nt
Organism: Vigna umbellata (rice bean)
Lineage: Eukaryota; Viridiplantae; Streptophyta; Magnoliopsida; Fabales; Fabaceae
Source: RefSeq, a predicted model, not a curated record